This 445-nucleotide ribosomal RNA is filed under the name uncultured bacterium. RNAcentral describes it as "bacterial SSU rRNA". It matches the Rfam family "Bacterial small subunit ribosomal RNA", at positions 354 to 796 of the family's 1533-position model. The record is from RNAcentral.
GUAAGGAAUAUUGGACAAUGGACGCAAGUCUGAUCCAGCCAUGCCGCGUGAAGGAUUAAGGUCCUCUGGAUUGUAAACUUCUUUUAUAAGGGACGAAAAAAGGCUUUUCUAAGUCGUCUGACGGUACCUUAUGAAUAAGCACCGGCUAACUCCGUGCCAGCCGCCGCGGUAAUACGGAGGGUGCAAGCGUUAUCCGGAUUCACUGGGUUUAAAGGGUGCGUAGGCGGGCAGGUAAGUCAGUGGUGAAAGCCUAGAGCUUAACUCUAGAACUGCCAUUGAUACUAUCUGUCUUGAAGAUUGUGGAGGUAAGCGGAAUAUGUCAUGUAGCGGUGAAAUGCUUAGAUAUGACAUAGAACACCUAUUGCGAAGGCAGCUUACUACGCAUAUAUUGACGCUGAGGCACGAAAGCGUGGGGAUCAAACAGGAUUAGAAACCCGGGUAGUCC